This 1488-nucleotide ribosomal RNA is filed under the name uncultured prokaryote. RNAcentral describes it as "partial 16S ribosomal RNA". It matches the Rfam family "Bacterial small subunit ribosomal RNA". The record is from RNAcentral.
AGAGUUUGAUCCUGGCUCAGGAUGAACGCUAGCGGCAGGCUUAACACAUGCAAGUCGAGGGGUAACAGGAAGAAGCUUGCUUUUUCGCUGACGACCGGCGCACGGGUGUAACGCGCGCGUAUAGAACCUACCUUUUACAGGGGAAUAGCCCAGAGAAAUUUGGAUUAAUGCCCCAUAGUAUUAUUGAAUGGCAUCAUUUUAUAAUUAAACAUUUAUGGGUAAAAGAUGGCUAUGCGUUCUAUUAGCUAGAUGGUAAGGUAACGGCUUACCAUGGCAACGAUAGAUAGGGGUCCUGAGAGGGAGAUCCCCCACACUGGUACUGAGACACGGACCAGACUCCUACGGGAGGCAGCAGUGAGGAAUAUUGGUCAAUGGGCGCAAGCCUGAACCAGCCAUCCCGCGUGUAGGAAGACUGCCCUAUGGGUUGUAAACUACUUUUAUAAAGGAAGAAACCCUUCUACGUGUAGAAGGCUGACUGUACUUUACGAAUAAGCACCGGCUAACUCCGUGCCAGCAGCCGCGGUAAUACGGAGGGUGCAAGCGUUAUCCGGAUUUAUUGGGUUUAAAGGGUGCGUAGGCGGGCCUUUAAGUCAGUGGUGAAAUCCUGCAGCUUAACUGUAGAACUGCCAUUGAUACUGAAGGCCUUGAGUAUAGUUGAGGUAGGCGGAAUGUGUAAUGUAGCGGUGAAAUGCUUAGAUAUUACACAGAACACCGAUUGCGUAGGCAGCUUACUAAGCUAUAACUGACGCUGAUGCACGAAAGCGUGGGGAGCGAACAGGAUUAGAUACCCUGGUAGUCCACGCCGUAAACGAUGAUCACUCGUUGUUGGCGAUACACAGUCAGCGACUGAGCGAAAGCAUUAAGUGAUCCACCUGGGGAGUACGAUCGCAAGAUUGAAACUCAAAGGAAUUGACGGGGGCCCGCACAAGCGGAGGAACAUGUGGUUUAAUUCGAUGAUACGCGAGGAACCUUACCUGGGCUUAAAUGUAGAGUGCAUAAGUGGGAAACUACUUUUUUCUUCGGAACUCUUUACAAGGUGCUGCAUGGUUGUCGUCAGCUCGUGCCGUGAGGUGUCGGGUUAAGUCCCAUAACGAGCGCAACCCCUAUCGUUAGUUGCCAGCGAGUCAAGUCGGGGACUCUAACGAGACUGCCGGUGUAAACCGCGAGGAAGGUGGGGAUGACGUCAAAUCAGCACGGCCCUUACGUCCAGGGCUACACACGUGUUACAAUGGCCGAUACAAAGGGCAGCUACCAGGUGACUGGAUGCUAAUCUCGAAAGUCGGUCUUAGUUCGGAUCGAAGUCUGCAACUCGACUUCGUGAAGCUGGAUUCGCUAGUAAUCGUAGAUCAGCAAUGCUACGGUGAAUACGUUCCCGGGCCUUGUACACACCGCCCGUCAAGCCAUGGAAGCUGGGGGUACCUGAAGUCUGUCACCGCAAGGAGCGGCCUAGGGUAAAACUAGUAACUGGGGCUAAGUCGCAACAAGGUA